AUACAAAGUAGCAUUUAACCAUAAACAAGAAACUUUGCGAGCAAAAUUUCCACAAUUAGAAGAAAAAAAGUGUAUUAAUGGCAAAAAAAACUACUUCACAUAAAAUUUUAGAAUACUGAGAUUAACCGCAGUAUGGCCUUGUAAGAUUUUGAUACUAAGCCAUAAUUUUUGCUUCAAUGGCACAUAAAAUACAAGGGCUUAUCAAAUUUUGGAAAACUGAG
Long non-coding RNA from Telopea speciosissima, 221 nucleotides. RefSeq lists it as uncharacterized. The record is from RefSeq and is a predicted model, not a curated record. Lineage: Eukaryota; Viridiplantae; Streptophyta; Magnoliopsida; Proteales; Proteaceae. The transcript is spliced from 3 exons.